GGCGCUCAUUUCCUCCUUGGGCGCCAUUUUGUAGCGCAGAGAAUCUGCAAAUAAAGAGCGGGCGGGAGUAGCGCGCCGGGAAGUCUUGGUAGUGGGAACGCCGCGGCGGUGGCCGUCCCGGCUUCGGAGCGGCGGUUCUCGCAGAGCUGGUCGCGGAGGUUGGUGGCAAGUGUGAGUGGUGGCGGCGUUUCGCCCUCGAUGUGACGGGAGCGGCCCAGGCGGCUAGUGUGCUGGGAGAGCGAGGCCUCCGCACCGCGGGCGGGAGAGUUCACAAUGACGAAUGAAGAACCUCUCCCAAAGAAGGUUCGCCUAAGUGAAGCAGAUUUUAAGGUUUUACCUAGAGAUGAACUCAUCCUAAGGUGGAAACAGUAUGAAGCAUAUGUGCAAGCUCUGGAGAGCAAGUACACAGACCUUAAUUCUAAUGAUGUGACGGGAUUGAGAGAAUCUGAAGAGAAGCUGAAACAGCAGCAGCAAGAAUCUGCCCGAAGAGAAAAUAUUCUGGUGAUGAGGCUGGCAACUAAAGAGCAGGAGAUGCAAGAGUGUACUAAUCAGAUUCAGUACCUCAAGCAAGUCCAGCAGCCUAGUGUUGCCCAGCUGCGAUCAACAAUGGUGGACCCAGCCAUCAACUUGUUUUUCCUAAAAAUGAAAGGUGAACUGGAACAGACUAAAGACAAACUGGAACAAGCCCAAAAUGAACUGAGUGCCUGGAAAUUUACGCCUGAUAGGUAAACAAAACAAAUACUCCCCAGUCAAGACUUCCCUGACAGUCCCACUACGAGAAUGCUAUGGUGGGACAACCAAGUACUCGUUUCCACACCAAGACUCAGACGUUUUGAGGCAAAAGCCAGAUUCUUAUACUGUCCAGCUUGUAAUGCUUAAUGUAAAACUUACCAGAUGAACCUUGUGUUUCAGCUUUUUUCUCCCCCUUUGCUUCAGAGGCCUGACGGCGUCGGACUAUUCUGAAGAAAUGGCCAUCUUCGAAAAAAAUCUUUUCUAGAACAUGUAGACAUUUGCGAAAUUGUUCUAUUUGAAGAAAAUAGAGGGAGAAACAGAAGUCUUAAGUCUGUGGCACACUGUGUCUACAGACAGUUUGGAGGAGAGAGAACCUAGAGAUUAUAAAUCAUGAAUUGAACAUGUAAAAUUCCCGUAAAAUGUAGAAGUGGAAUAUGCUUCGCUCUUAACCUUGAGCCUAGUGACUUAGAGACACUGUAAGUCAGUUUUGCCAAUAAGACUGUGGACUUCCUGCUUGUUCACUGAACUGCUGGGUCAGAACUCGAUGAGGCAUUAACAUGAAGAAAUUAAUGGGAUUCUAAAAUUGUCCCAGUUCCAAGGUAACUGGUACUUGCUAAUUCUGCAGUUGAUGUUGUUUUGUGAAGAGAAAAGCGUUAAAUGACUUAAGCACUGUGAACUUCUUCAACUUGUACAGUAACAGGAAUUUGCAAAUGGCUAAAAAUCAUGGCAUGUCUGCCUAACAACUUUUGGGGUAUGUUACAUUUGGUUAUCUCCAAAGUGGUCCUGCUAUACACAGAAUGAACAUCUCUAAGGAAACUUGCAUCUUAAAUGUGUGACUUGGACUGUAUUAGGUCAGCACAAUUUAAACUUCAAGGACCUGGCAUUGGACAUCACAUCAAGAAAGAAAACAGGUUGCUGCCUUUAGCAGAUUUUCAGGCUUCCAGGACUUUACACAGCCAGAUUCCUUCUGGAGCAACCCAUCUGAAAGAUUUGGGAAAGUCAGUCGGAAACGUUAAAUGGGGCAGAGUUGGCAGAACUUAAAAGUUGUCUAAGGCUUGAAUGCUUAAAAGGUAGUUAAGGAAAUUACUAUUUUAAAUUCUUUUGGUUGGGUAUUUUGGUUGCAGGAGAGAAACAUGGCUGUGCAUUGUAGCGGAAAUUUCCUGUUUACUUUUUUAACCCUCAGGUUCUUUUGAUCUUUGUCACUUGUUUAAAAGCAAACACACAAAAUGAAAUGACCUUCUUGGUCUUAAAAAGUAAUGCAAGUUCUGCCACUGAAUUCACAAUAAACUUGUUCAAGUUUGGGUUGUUCUUUAAUUUUUUGUUUGGCAGAACUUCUGUAGAAAAGGACAGCUUUAUUAUGUUGCUGAGCCUGUCAAAAGAACUGUUUGUGGUUGCUAUCCUGACUCUGGCAGAUGAAGAGUCCUAAAAGACUUUAAUUUUUCUCUUUCAUGGAGUCAGCUGUAUUGCCUAUAUAUUAAUUUGCAUACUACUUCCUAUAAUGCUUUACAGUGCAGUUUUUAUAAUGAAGAUUAAAGAUGUGUGAUGUUAUUCAUUUACUAAA
Molecule: RNA transcript, 2293 nt
Organism: Pezoporus flaviventris
Lineage: Eukaryota; Metazoa; Chordata; Aves; Psittaciformes; Psittacidae
Gene: WTAP
Gene name: WT1 associated protein
Exons: 7
Source: RefSeq, a predicted model, not a curated record